AUUGAACGCUGGCGGCAGGCCUAACACAUGCAAGUCGAGCGUGAAAGUCCUUCGGGAUGAGUAAAGCGGCGGACGGGUGAGUAACGCGUAGGAAUCUACCUAAUAGUGGGGGAUAACGUUUCGAAAGGAACGCUAAUACCGCAUACGUUCUGAGGAAGAAAGCAGGGGCUCGCAAGACCUUGCGCUAUUAGAUGAGCCUGCGUCCGAUUAGCUAGUUGGUGGGGUAAAGGCCUACCAAGGCGACGAUCGGUAACUGGUCUGAGAGGAUGAUCAGUCACACUGGAACUGAGACACGGUCCAGACUCCUACGGGAGGCAGCAGUGGGGAAUAUUGGACAAUGGGGGCAACCCUGAUCCAGCCAUGCCGCGUGUGUGAAGAAAGGCCUUCGGGUUGUUAAAGACAC
Molecule: ribosomal RNA, 403 nt
Filed under: uncultured bacterium
Lineage: Bacteria
Description: bacterial SSU rRNA
Rfam family: Bacterial small subunit ribosomal RNA
Source: RNAcentral